GGGGAUAUAGCUCAGUUGGUAGAGUGCUUGCCUUGCAUGCACAAGGACCUGGGUUCAAUCCCCAGCACCA
This 70-nucleotide transfer RNA is filed under the name Ictidomys tridecemlineatus (thirteen-lined ground squirrel). RNAcentral describes it as "Spermophilus tridecemlineatus (thirteen-lined ground squirrel) tRNA". It matches the Rfam family "tRNA". Rfam says of the family: Transfer RNA (tRNA) molecules are approximately 80 nucleotides in length. Their secondary structure includes four short double-helical elements and three loops (D, anti-codon, and T loops). Further hydrogen bonds mediate the characteristic L-shaped molecular structure. tRNAs have two regions of fundamental functional importance: the anti-codon, which is responsible for specific mRNA codon recognition, and the 3' end, to which the tRNAs corresponding amino acid is attached (by aminoacyl-tRNA synthetases). tRNAs cope with the degeneracy of the genetic code in two manners: having more than one tRNA (with a specific anti-codon) for a particular amino acid; and 'wobble' base-pairing, i.e. permitting non-standard base-pairing at the 3rd anti-codon position. The record is from Rfam by way of RNAcentral. Lineage: Eukaryota; Metazoa; Chordata; Mammalia; Rodentia; Sciuridae. RNAcentral also lists the same sequence under 1 other name.